UACCGCAAACCGACACAGGUAGGCGGGUAGAGGAUACCCAGGCGCGCGAGAGAACUAUCGUUAAGGAACUAGGCAAACUGGCCCCGUAACUUCGGGAGAAGGGGUGCCGGGGAACGGGGAGGCUGUAACGCCGAACUCAACUCCGGUCGCAGUGACAGGGCUCGAGCGACUGUUUAACAAAAACACAGGUCUCUGCUAGGGGGAAACCCGCAGUAUAGGGGCUGACGCCUGCCCAACGCCAGAAGGUUAAAGGGAGAGGUGAAGGGGAGCCUUCGGGCAAACUGGCAGCUUUGAACUGAAGCCCUGGUGAGUGGCGGCCGUAACUAUAACGGUCCUAAGGUAGCGAAAUUCCUUGUCGGGUAAGUUCCGACCUGCACGAAUGGCGUAACGACUUGAGCGCUGUCUCAACGAUAGACUCGGUGAAAUUGUAGCACCUGUGAAGAUGCAGGUUACCCACAAUAGGACGGAAAGACCCCGUGGAGCUUUACUACACCCUGUCAUUGUGUUCUCUGCUGGUCUGUAGAGCGUAGGUGGGAGCCCGCAAGGGCGCCAAUGGAACACCACCCUGGCCAGUGGGGAGCACUAACCGGUGCGGGUUCGCAGCCCGACCGAGACCGUGGCAGGCGGGUAGUUUGACUGGGGCGGUCGCCUCCCAAAAUGUAACGGAGGCGUCCAAAGGUUCCCUCGGCCUGGUUGGAAAUCAGGCGCAAAGAGUAUAAGGGCACAAGGGAGCUUGACGGUGAGAGCGACAGCUCGAGCCGGGACGAAAGUCGGGCCUAGUGACCCUCUGGUGGGGUGUGGAACCGCCAGGGCUUAACGGAUAAAAGUUACCCCGGGGAUAACAGGCUUAUCUUGCCCAAGCGCUCACAGCGACGGCAAGGUUUGGCACCUCGAUGUCGGCUCGUCGCAUCCUGGGGCUGGAUUAGGUCCCAAGGGUUAGGCUGUUCGCCUAUUAAAGCGGUACGCGAGCUGGGUUCAGAACGUCGUGAGACAGUUCGGUCCCUAUCCAUUGUGGGCGGAAGAGUAUUGAGAGGAGCUGCUCCUAGUACGAGAGGACCGGAGUGGACUGACCGCUGGUGUACCUGUUGUUGCGCCCGCAGCAGAAGCAGGGUAGCUAUGUCGGGAAGGGAUAAGCGCUGAAAGCAUCUAAGCGCGAAGCUCGCCUCAAGAUGAGUACUCUCACCAGGUUAGCUGGGUAAGGCCCGUGGUAGAGAACCACGUUGAUAGGCGGUCCCUGGAAGCGCUGCAAGGCGUGGAGGGCAGCCGUACUAAUCGGCCGAGGGCAAAAAAAA
RNAcentral lists this ribosomal RNA (1292 nucleotides) under metagenome. RNAcentral's name for it is "bacterial LSU rRNA". It matches the Rfam family "Bacterial large subunit ribosomal RNA", at positions 1645 to 2925 of the family's 2925-position model. The record is from RNAcentral.